This 429-nucleotide ribosomal RNA is filed under the name Bacteroidota bacterium. RNAcentral describes it as "Bacteroidetes bacterium partial 16S ribosomal RNA". It matches the Rfam family "Bacterial small subunit ribosomal RNA", at positions 355 to 776 of the family's 1533-position model. The record is from RNAcentral. Lineage: Bacteria; Pseudomonadati; Bacteroidota.
UAGGGAAUCUUCCGCAAUGGACGCAAGUCUGACGGAGCAACGCCGCGUGAGUGAAGAAGGAUUUCGGUUCGUAAAACUCUGUUGUUAGAGAAGAACAGCGCAUAGAGUAACUGUUAUGCGUGUGACGGUAUCUAACCAGAAAGCCACGGCUAACUACGUGCCAGCAGCCGCGGUAAUACGUAGGUGGCAAGCGUUGUCCGGAUUUAUUGGGCGUAAAGCGAGCGCAGGCGGUCAAUUAAGUCUGAUGUGAAAGCCCCCGGCUCAACCGGGGAGGGUCAUUGGAAACUGGUUGACUUGAGUGCAGAAGAGGAGAGUGGAAUUCCAUGUGUAGCGGUGAAAUGCGUAGAUAUAUGGAUGAACACCAGUGGCGAAGGCGACUCUCUGGUCUGUAACUGACGCUGAGGCUCGAAAGCGUGGGUAGCAAACAGG